CCUUCGGGAACUCUGACACAGGUGCUGCAUGGCCGUCGUCAGCUCGUGUCGUGAGAUGUUGGGUUAAGUCCCGUAACGAGCGCAACCCUUGUCCUUAGUUACCAGCACGUGAUGGUGGGCACUCUAAGGAGACUGCCGGUGACAAACCGGAGGAAGGUGGGGAUGACGUCAGGUCAUCAUGGCCCUUACGGCCAGGGCUACACACGUGCUACAAUGGUAGGUACAGAGGGUUGCUACACAGCGAUGUGAUGCUAAUCUCAAAAAGCCUAUCGUAGUCCGGAUUGGAGUCUGCAACUCGACUCCAUGAAGUCGGAAUCGCUAGUAAUCGCGGAUCAGAAUGCCGC
RNAcentral lists this ribosomal RNA (344 nucleotides) under uncultured Pelagophyceae. RNAcentral describes it as "partial Bacterial small subunit ribosomal RNA". It matches the Rfam family "Bacterial small subunit ribosomal RNA", at positions 1017 to 1360 of the family's 1533-position model. Lineage: Eukaryota; Pelagophyceae. The record is from RNAcentral.